ACAUGCCCACACCUGUGGCUUCUGAAGCAGAGCACCAGCAGUGACAGUCCCACCAGAACCGCAUGGAAUAGAAAACUGUGCAUUUCCCUAAGGAAAGGGAAUGCCAGAGAAGGGCAGAAGGGAAAUCAGGAAGACAAAACGUGUCUUCAUGUUGGAGUGGACCUUUCCUCUAUCUGUCAACAGAAUGGAUAAAUUGUGGAAGAGUAAUAUCAGAAUACUACACAUCAGUAAAAAACAACAAACUUCUGCUACAAACAAUCAACAUCGAUGAAUCUUUCAGGCAAAAGGGCAAAGAAAAGUAUUGGUCUUCCAAAACAAAUAGAGGACGGAGCUGCUGCUGUUGCAUGGUGUCUAGAAACUCAGACAACUUCAUCAUUCCAUAUUUGCAUCCAAGAGAGAGAAAGAAAAACUACAAUCAUUUUCCAUUUACCCAUCAACCCAUCAACCUCCAAAUAAAGGCUAUUAAAAAACAAUCAAAGUGUGAAGAGGGCAGAAAAUGUGAUGAAGAGAUUCUUUGGAGAAAGUAGCUGCCACUGUUACCUUGGGAUCUGCCUAUAGUCCUCACAGAGCUUGAGACAGGGUCUCACUAUGUUGCCCCAGUUGGCCUUGAACUGCUGGACUCAAGGGAUCCUCCUGCCUCAGCAUCCUGAGUAGCUGGGUCUACAGGCAUGAACCACCAGGCCCAGAACCCUGUCUUUUGAAAGCCAUAUGCGAUCUGUCUGCCCUGAAGUGACUACUUCAUCUCCAACCAGCCCUUGGCUGGCAAAGUCAGGAAGACUCCAGUCUUUCCUGAAGACCAGGGGAGAGUUUAUAACUCUAGCAUCAAAGUCAGCAGCUGUUCAUCUAGAAGACAACUUCCCAAAAGUCAAUGUCUUUGCCUGAAGCUUUUCUUCCCAGAUCUCCUAUGGUGAAACAACCAAAGGGAAGAAGAAUGUGGGCAGCCCUCAGUAAGACAGGAGAUGAGCAUCAACAUUGACCCAUUCUUUCUUCCAGUCCUCGAUGCUUACCUUGUACAUUCUUCUUUGUCUUCCGACUCAGUGCCUUUAGGGUAUGGACGUUGCCUGGUCCCACACAAGCCAAGCAUCAAAUGGAUGGCUCAACAAGGAGGCCAAGACCAGCUAAUGUUUAGUGAGCACCCAAAGGGGCCACACUGGAGAGAACAGCACAGCUCCGUCUGAGAAACAGCUGUUCCUUCCUGCCUGAGAGGCAGAGUGAUAGAAGAUAUCACAGAAUGUUGCUGCUUUGUCUUCCACCCUGAACCCUCCACGACCUCCCUGUAGCUUCCUGAUUUUAAGUAGACAUCAAAUGAUUCUUAAUCCUUUCUGGGUCUUGGAACGAUUUGAAAAUUGUCAACAGUACUGGGAUUCCCAGAAUAAUGCACAUAUGUACAUACUCAGAUAUUCCCCAAGCCCUGGAUAUAAUUUUAAGGGAGUUCACAGACCACACUCCCCCACCCAUCUGUGGACCCAGAUUCUGUGGGUUCGAGAUUCAGAAGCCCUGUUUCUAGGCAGGCCCUCUGUUGCUAACGCCCCUCGAGAACAUCACCCUAGAUGAUUAUCCCUUCUUCCUCCACUCCUUCCCACCUUCUCCAACUGCUGGGUUUCAGCACAAAGAUUGCUUGCCAGUUAAACUGGCACCAUGGACCGCACAGUAGUUGUUUCUUGGGUCUAGAGGAAACAGCCAGAUUCCUUUAAGUAAAUCAUGUCUUAGUUAUUGAUUGUCUCCACUUGAAGUUUUUGACAAUCUCUGAUUAAAUCAUAAACCACUGCA
Molecule: long non-coding RNA, 1770 nt
Filed under: Homo sapiens (human)
Lineage: Eukaryota; Metazoa; Chordata; Mammalia; Primates; Hominidae
Description: long independently transcribed non-coding RNA 2290, transcript variant 9 (LINC02290)
Source: RNAcentral